Molecule: ribosomal RNA, 498 nt
Filed under: uncultured bacterium
Lineage: Bacteria
Description: partial 16S ribosomal RNA
Rfam family: Bacterial small subunit ribosomal RNA
Source: RNAcentral
ACUGAACGCUGGCGGCACGCCUUACACAUGCAAGUCGAACGGUAACAGGUCUUCGGAUGCUGACGAGUGGCGAACGGGUGAGUAAUACAUCGGAACGUGCCCGAGAGUGGGGGAUAACGAAGCGAAAGCUUUGCUAAUACCGCAUACGAUCUCAGGAUGAAAGCAGGGGACCGCAAGGCCUUGCGCUCACGGAGCGGCCGAUGGCAGAUUAGGUAGUUGGUGGGAUAAAAGCUUACCAAGCCGACGAUCUGUAGCUGGUCUGAGAGGACGACCAGCCACACUGGGACUGAGACACGGCCCAGACUCCUACGGGAGGCAGCAGUGGGGAAUUUUGGACAAUGGGCGCAAGCCUGAUCCAGCCAUGCCGCGUGCAGGAUGAAGGCCUUCGGGUUGUAAACUGCUUUUGUACGGAACGAAAAGACUCUGGUUAAUACCUGGGGUCCAUGACGGUACCGUAAGAAUAAGCACCGGCUAACUACGUGCCAGCCGCCGCCGUAA